Vicugna pacos (alpaca) is the source of this 1511-nucleotide non-coding RNA. Lineage: Eukaryota; Metazoa; Chordata; Mammalia; Artiodactyla; Camelidae. The record is from RefSeq and is a predicted model, not a curated record.
GCAGGGGCCUGGCGUCCUCCGGAGCAGGGCCCGUUAGGGUCCGUGUGGGUCUGUGACCAGCAAACUGGGUUGACAGAGUAGCUGGAGCAUCACCUGGGCGGGGCCGGCACAGCUCUGCAUCCUCCCCUGGGUUCUCCCCUUUACACCUGCAAGCUCAUUUUCAGUAUCCCUUACUGCUUCCCAAUCUCCCCUUCUCUCGCUCUCUCUCCGCUCUCUCUCUCUUUUGCACUGAGAUUUGGGAAAUGAGCUUAAAGUAAUAAUUAGCAAAUCUUCAAAGCUUUAGCUCUAAUUUUGCAGUUCACUGCCUCUGUGGUUUAGUGGAACAAACCACUGGGGCAUUUUUGCUGCACUAGUGUUCAAAACUACUUACCAGCUCUGCAGUCUAGGUCAGGAUAUCUCAUCUCCGUGAUCUGCAGCUUCUUCACCAGUUACACGCCAGAUCACGGGGAUGUAAUAAAGACCACCGAGAGGCUGUCCCGAAAACCAAGUAAGUUAACGGAUGUGAAAGAUCUGGUCCAGCACCUGGUACAUAACAGAUGCUCAGGAAAUGUCAAGGAGGAAGCCUCUUGACUCUAACUUGGGAUAAAAACACAACUAUCACAUUCUUUGUUUAGUCAUAAUGGGAUAAUAUCCUUGACUGCUAUUUAAAAAUUAUUUCUGCCAUCAAAUAGCUGAAUCUACCCAACAACUUUUCCUACUCAUAUUUUUAUUUAGUUUCUCAAGAUUUAAAUCUCUAGUGAAAAUUACAUGAAAAGAGUAUACAAUUUCCACUUCAAGAAUUAGACAUAAAAGUAAUGUUCCUCUAUUAUUAACAUACCUGUGUUGUACACACUUUGUACAGAAGUCCAUUUUAUUUUAUUUUAUUUUAUUUAUUAUUUUAUUUUUGAUGCAGGAAAGGUAAUUUUUGGUUUAUUUAUUUAUUAAUUUUAAACAGAGGCACUGGGGAUUGAACCCAGGACCUUGUGCAUGCUAGGCAUGCCUUUUAUCACUGAGCUAUGUUCUCCCCCAUGGAAGAUCAUUUUAGAAUUAGGAAGGGGUGACCCUGGUGGCUGAGGGUCUCCUGUUACAGGAAUGGUUUUGUUGUUGGAAGGAGAGGUGAACUCUGCAAAAUGUUGGGUUGAGCAGAACCUAAUUGAUCUUGUCCAUAAUGGCAACUUUUGCGGGUCAAUCCCCAGGUGAUUUCUGGGUGAUUUCCUGAGGGCCCUGUCUUCUUGGUCUUAGAGCAGGUGCCCAGGGCCUCCUUGUUCGGCUCCAGUGAAGUAUCCGGGCAGCUGACACAUGGGUGCAUGCUUGGCCAAGCUAACCCAGAAGGGACAAGGUCAAGCAUCAUUCCACAAGCUUUCUGUUGGUACCGAUUUUGAGGUUUAUGUGGGGAAAUCUAGGGGACAGUGAGGAGGAGGGCGAGCUCAGCUCGGCCCUGUGGAGUUGGCAGUUGAGUCUGGGGGUGCCCAUGAAGCACGGGUCACCCUGACUGCCAGGCAAGCAUGCGGGAGCUCGGAAGAGCGGUACAG